Molecule: non-coding RNA, 99 nt
Organism: Naganishia vaughanmartiniae
Lineage: Eukaryota; Fungi; Basidiomycota; Tremellomycetes; Filobasidiales; Filobasidiaceae
Source: the annotation of a GenBank genome assembly
GGUCGCCUGAUGUAGUGGUUAUCAUAUUCGCUUUACAAUGACACGGUUCACCCGAGUUUUCUACGCGAAAUGUCGCCGGUUCGAUCCCGGCGGUGACCU